AGCUACUGGGCCUGCUGCGUGGACCCCAGCUCCUACCUGGUCAAGGUGGGCGUGGGGCUGGAGAGCAAGCUGCAGGAGUGGUUCCAGGUGCCGCAGGACGUGGUGAGCCCCAGGUGAGAUUGGAGGGUGCAGGGUUUGUUCUUACCUGCCCAGCUGGGUGUCAGGGGGCUCCUGGAGGGGACAGCUCUCCACUGGGCUCAGAAUAAACACCUUCAGCAUUGCUGGGGAGUCCCAUGAGCGGCCAAUCCAGCCAGGGGGGCUGCUGGGUGCUAAGGCACCUUCUCAGAUGGGUAUUGGAGCUGGAUCCCCCCACCUGGGUACUGUGCAUGGCAGGUGGAGAGGCCACAGGCAGGGCAGGGCCCUCCUGGGUGGGUGCCCGUCCCUGGAGGUGUGGAGGGAUCUCCAGCCUAUCCCAUGGGAGGACUCACCUGCCCCCCCUGCACAGGUAUGACCCCGACAGUGGCCACGACAGCGGGGCAGAGGACACAACGGUGGAGGCGCCUCCUCCCUACGCCUUCCUCACCAUCGGCAUGGGCAAGAUCCUGCUGUCCCACGGCUCGGCCCUCACGUCCCGCGACCCCAACGGCUGCACCGUGCCCCUGCCCCCGCGCAUUGGCAUCUGCCUGGACUACGAGCAGGGCAAGGUGAGCUUCUACGACGCCGUGUCCUUCCGCGAGCUCUGGGAGUGCGGCGUGGACUGCUCGGGGCCCGUCUGCCCCGCCUUCUGCUUCAUCGGAGGGGGGGCCCUGCACCUGCAGGAGCUGGUGGCCAACAAGCAGGAGAGGAAAGUGACCAUUGGGAACUUUGCCAAGCUGGACUGAGCCAUGCCCGCGGUCCCCACACUCCCCCCGGGCACCCUGUGAGCACCAGGGGGACACAAGUGGCCAGGGAGCAGAGCAGAGCAGAACAGGGGUGNCUUGCUCCAUUUCCAUCUUCUUUGCCCCAUUUCCAUCCCCCUCACGCCCCAUUUCUGUCCCACUCCUUGCUCCAUUUCUAUUCCCUUCCUUGCCCCAUUUCUGCCCUCUCUCACCCCAUUUCCAUCCCCUCACGCCCCAUUUCUGUCCCACUCCUUGCUCCAUUUCUGCCCUCUCUCUCCCCAUUUCCAUCUCCUCUUGUCCUGUUUCCAUUUUCUUGCUUGCCCCAUUUCUGUCUCCUCUCACCCUGUUUCCGUCCCCUUCCUCACUCCAUUUCUGUUCAACUGUCACCCCACUUCUGUCCACAUGCUCACCUCACUUCUGUCCCAUUCAUCAUCCAAUUUUCUGCUCCCUCCUCAUCCCAUUUCCACUCUCCCUUGCCCCAUUUCAACCCCAUCCUUGCCCUUUUUCCAUUUUCUUCUCAUCCUGUUUCCAUUCCCCCACUCUCCAUUUCCACCCCAGUCUCACCCCAUUUCCACCCCAGUCUCACCCUAUUUCCAUCCUCUUCCUUACUCCAUUUUCAUUCUCUCCUUGCUCCAUUUCCACCCCUCUCCUUGUUCGAUUUUCUUCCCUCUCUUGUCCCAUUUCCAUUCCCUUUCUUGACUCAUAUUUGUCUCCCCUUCACCCCAUUUAUGUCCAGAUUCCUCUCCCAUUUAUUUUCCCAUCUGCCCCCUAUUUCUUUCCCACUUUCACCCCAUUUCCCUUCUCUUCCUUGUUCUAUUUCCACCCCUCUCCUUAUCCCAUUUCUUUCUCCCCUCGCCCCAUUCCCAUCUGCCUCUUCACCCCAAUUCCAUCCUGCUCACCCCAUUUCUUUUCCUUUCUGCAUCCCUUUCCCACCUUGUCCUUGCCCCAUUGUUGCCCCAUUUCCAUUCUCCUUCUCUCUUUAUUUCCAUCCUACUCUCACCCCAUUUCUGCCCUCUUCCUCUCCCAUUUCCAUCCCUCUCCUUGCCCCAUUUCUACCUCCCUCCUCAUGCUGUUUCCUUUCUCUUCCUUGUGCCAUUCCCUUCCUUUCCUUACCCCUCUCCCACCUGCCACCCUUCAUCUCCCCUCCCCGCCCUGCCUCUGUUCCUGCCAGUACCUUCUACCACCCUCCAUCCCCAUCUCCUCCUCCUCCUCCUCCUCCUCUCCUGCUGCCUCCACUCUCUCUCUCUUUCUCUCUCUCUCCUCCCUCCUGACUUGCACUCGGCCUGUCUGGUCCCUGGAGCCCCACAGCAGCAGCUCCUCUGUCUCCCCGACUCUCGCUCUCCUCCGGUGCCGACACACGGUCCUCCGCAGUCAGACCCCUUUAGACUCCGCUGGUUGUGCGUCCNNNNNNNNNNNNNNNNNNNNNNNNNNNNNNNNNNNNNNNNNNNNNNNNNNNNNNNN
This 2279-nucleotide long non-coding RNA is filed under the name Zonotrichia albicollis (white-throated sparrow). RNAcentral's name for it is "lncRNA (ENSZALG00000011747.1)". The record is from RNAcentral. Lineage: Eukaryota; Metazoa; Chordata; Aves; Passeriformes; Passerellidae.